AUUUAUAUAGUUUAAACAAAACAUUACAUUUUCAUUGUGAAAUUAGAAAAUUUUCUUAUAAAU
RNAcentral lists this transfer RNA (63 nucleotides) under Litostylus pudens. RNAcentral's name for it is "tRNA-Glu". The record is from RNAcentral. Lineage: Eukaryota; Metazoa; Arthropoda; Insecta; Coleoptera; Curculionidae.